UUGACAUCUCGGGAAUCAUUUGGAAACAUAUGAGUGCCUCGCAAGAGGAGCCCGAUGACAGGUGCUGCAUGGCUGUCGUCAGCUCGUGUCGUGAGAUGUUGGGUUAAGUCCCGCAACGAGCGCAACCCUUGUCUUUAGUUGCCAUCAUUAAGUUGGGCACUCUAAAGAGACUGCCGGUGUCAAACCGGAGGAAGGUGGGGAUGACGUCAAGUCCUCAUGGCCUUUAUGACCAGGGCUACACACGUACUACAAUGGCAGGUACAAAGGGCAGCCACUUAGCGAUAAGGCGCGAAUCCCAUAAAACCUGUCUCAGUCCGGAUUGGAGUCUGCAACUCGACUCCAUGAAGUUGGAAUCGCUAGUAAUCGCAGAUCAGCACGCUGCGGUGAAUACGUUCCCGGGCCUU
RNAcentral lists this ribosomal RNA (404 nucleotides) under uncultured Desulfocapsa sp. Its description in RNAcentral is "bacterial SSU rRNA". It matches the Rfam family "Bacterial small subunit ribosomal RNA", at positions 981 to 1382 of the family's 1533-position model. The record is from RNAcentral. Lineage: Bacteria; Pseudomonadati; Thermodesulfobacteriota; Desulfobulbia; Desulfobulbales; Desulfocapsaceae.